This 600-nucleotide ribosomal RNA is filed under the name Triticum aestivum (bread wheat). RNAcentral describes it as "partial small subunit ribosomal RNA". The record is from RNAcentral. Lineage: Eukaryota; Viridiplantae; Streptophyta; Magnoliopsida; Poales; Poaceae.
AUGGAGGUUGAUGCGUUUCAGUUUGCUGUGAGACGCCAUGUCAGGGAUUGGAUGGAAUUCUUCGCGUCGAAAAAAGUAGCUCACACAUCGACGCAAACUAGAUGGGAGACCCCUCCACAAGAUUGUGUUAAGAUCAAUGUAGACGCCUCAUUUAACGCAAGUUUGGGCCAUCGAGGGUGGGGUAUGAUUUGCAUAGAUUCGGAAUCAGACAUUAAGUUCCUGGCAGCAGGAUCUGCUGAUGACGUUUCUGAUGCUCUACAUGCUGAAACCAUAUCCCUCUCACAUGUUGUUCAGCUAGCUGACCAACUGGGCGUGGGGCGGGUAAUUUUUGAGACUGACAGUCUCAACUUGCAACAAGCAGUGACCUCCAACUCUUAUGACUUUGCUCCACUGGGACAAAUGUUUCGAGAUAUCAAGGCCAAACUCAAUUCACAAUUCAUUAGCACAAGUGUAGUCCAUGUCUCGCGUGACUGUAACAUGCCAUCACAUGUACUGGCAGCAAGGGGCGCAGGAUUAGCUAAUGCUGAAAUGCGUUUGUGGUUGGACAAUAUUCCUGCUGAUGUAACCCGUUAUGUAACCAGCAUCUCAGCCGUGUCAUAA